CGCUGGCGGCGUGCUUAACACAUGCAAGUCGAACGAGGCGGAAGGGGGCAACUCCUWCCAGUCGAGUGGCGGACGGGUGAGUAACACGUGGGUAACCUGCCCGGAAGUGUGGAAUACCUCGGGGAAACUCGAGCUAAUACCGCAUGACAUCUUUGGGACGACAGUCCUGACGAUCAAAGCGGGGUCGCAAGAUCUCGCGCUACCGGAUGGGCCCACGCCCGAUUAGCUAGUUGGUGGGGUAACGGCUCACCAAGGCUUCGUUCGGUAACCGGCCUGAGAGGGCGAUCGGUCACACCGGAACUGAGACACGGUCCGGACUCCUACGGGAGGCAGCAGUGGGGAAUCUUGCGCAAUGGGCGAAAGCCUGACGCAGCAACGCCGCGUGGAGGAUGAAGGCCCUUGGGUUGUAAACUCCUGUCGGCUGGGAAGAAAUCGUUCGUGGCUCAUACCCACGGACGUUGACUGUACCAGCAAAGGAAGCCCCGGCUAACUCUGUGCCAGCAGCCGCGGUAAUACAGAGGGGGCUAGCGUUAUUCGGAAUUAUUGGGCGUAAAGGGCGCGUAGGCGGCCAUGCGUGUCUUCCGUGAAAUCCCUCGGCUUAACUGAGGACGUGCGGA
Molecule: ribosomal RNA, 617 nt
Filed under: uncultured soil bacterium
Lineage: Bacteria
Description: bacterial SSU rRNA
Rfam family: Bacterial small subunit ribosomal RNA
Source: RNAcentral